AUUGAACGCUGGCGGCAUGCUUUACACAUGCAAGUCGAACGGCAGCGCGGGGGCAACCCUGGCGGCGAGUGGCGAACGGGUGAGUAAUGUAUCGGAACGUAUCCUGGUAAUGGGGGAUAACCAGUCGAAAGAUUGGGUAAUACCGCAUACGCACGAGAGUGGAAAGUAGGGGAUCGCAAGACCUUACGUUAUAGGAGCGGCCGAUAUCUGAUUAGCUAGUUGGUGGGGUAAAGGCCUACCAAGGCGACGAUCAGUAGCUGGUCUGAGAGGACGACCAGCCACACUGGGACUGAGACACGGCCCAGACUCCUACGGGAGGCAGCAGUGGGGAAUUUUGGACAAUGGGCGAAAGCCUGAUCCAGCCAUGCCGCGUGCAGGAAGAAGGCCUUCGGGUUGUAAACUGCUUUAGUCUAGGAAAAAGGGGUGCGAGGUUAAUACCCUCGUGCUUUGAUGGUACUGGAAGAAUAAGCACCGGCUAACUACGUG
This 486-nucleotide ribosomal RNA is filed under the name uncultured bacterium. RNAcentral describes it as "bacterial SSU rRNA". It matches the Rfam family "Bacterial small subunit ribosomal RNA", at positions 30 to 507 of the family's 1533-position model. The record is from RNAcentral.